GUGAAUGAGUGAAUUAUUGUCUUACUAGAUAUUCUAAGAGAUGGUGGACGGAUCGAGUACAUAAAAAAUUCUAUCGUAAAUGUUACCUCAUACCGGACGGGGUAUCAAUUGUAGUAACAGGAUGUAAAGAGAAAAAAAAAAGAAAAAGAAAAUUUCUGGCAUGUAUGUAUAUAUGUGUAUAUAGAGAUAGUUAUAGAGUGAAACAGUGCCGUUUGGAGAAGAGGAUGAGGAAACAAUGUCAUUUGGAGGAAACGACGUCGUUUGGAGAAGAGGAGGAGGAAACG
This 284-nucleotide long non-coding RNA is filed under the name Carica papaya (papaya). Its description in RNAcentral is "long non-coding RNA (CPAP_LNC016153)". The record is from RNAcentral. Lineage: Eukaryota; Viridiplantae; Streptophyta; Magnoliopsida; Brassicales; Caricaceae.